AUACGGAGGAUCCGAGCGUUAUCCGGAUUUAUUGGGUUUAAAGGGUGCGUAGGCGGAAAAAUAAGUCAGUUGUGAAAGUUUGCAGCUCAACUGUAAAAGUGCAUUUAAAACUGGCAGACUUGAGUCUCGGAGAGGUAAGCGGAAUUCCUAGUGUAGCGGUGAAAUGCGUAGAGAUUAGGAAGAACACCGGUGGCGAAGGCGGCUUACUGGACGAGUACUGACGCUCAGGUACGAAAGCGUGGGGAGC
RNAcentral lists this ribosomal RNA (247 nucleotides) under uncultured bacterium. RNAcentral describes it as "partial 16S ribosomal RNA". It matches the Rfam family "Bacterial small subunit ribosomal RNA", at positions 523 to 769 of the family's 1533-position model. The record is from RNAcentral.